UGAUAAAAAAUUCAUCCAUUUAUGUUGUUAAAAACUAGCGUGGUUGACGAAAUAAUCAGAUAGUGACAUGCGACGUGCCAUGAAUAACAAAAAUGGAUGAAAUUUUUAACA
Molecule: non-coding RNA, 111 nt
Organism: Gossypium raimondii (Peruvian cotton)
Lineage: Eukaryota; Viridiplantae; Streptophyta; Magnoliopsida; Malvales; Malvaceae
Source: Rfam